UACAGAGGUCUCAAGCGUUGUUCGGAUUCAUUGGGCGUAAAGGGUGCGUAGGCGGCGCGGUAAGUCGGGUGUGAAAUUUCGAGGCUUAACUUCGAAACUGCAUUCGAUACUGCUGUGCUUGAGGACUGGAGAGGAGACUGGAAUUUACGGUGUAGCGGUGAAAUGCGUAGAUAUCGUAAGGAAGACCAGUGGCGAAGGCGGGUCUCUGGACAGUUCCUGACGCUGAGGCACGAAGGCCAGGGGAGCAAACGGG
Molecule: ribosomal RNA, 253 nt
Filed under: uncultured bacterium
Lineage: Bacteria
Description: partial 16S ribosomal RNA
Rfam family: Bacterial small subunit ribosomal RNA
Source: RNAcentral